This 492-nucleotide ribosomal RNA is filed under the name uncultured bacterium. RNAcentral describes it as "partial 16S ribosomal RNA". It matches the Rfam family "Bacterial small subunit ribosomal RNA", at positions 29 to 507 of the family's 1533-position model. The record is from RNAcentral.
AGUGAACGCUGGCGGUAGGCCUAACACGUGCAAGUCGAACGGCAGCACAGUAAGAGCUUGCUCUUACGGGUGGCGAGUGGCGGACGGGCGAGGAAUACAUCGGAAUCUACUUUUUCGUGGGGGAUAACGUAAGGAAACUUACGCUAAUACCGCAUACGACCUACGGGUGAAAGCAGGGGAUCUUCGGACCUUGCGCGAUUGAAUGAGCCGAUGUCGGAUUAGCUAGUUGGCGGGGUAAAGGCCCACCAAGGCGACGAUCCGUAGCUGGUCUGAGAGGAUGAUCAGCCACACUGGAACUGAGACACGGUCCAGACUCCUACGGGAGGCAGCAGUGGGGAAUAUUGGACAAUGGGCGCAAGCCUGAUCCAGCCAUACCGCGUGGGUGAAGAAGGCCUUCGGGUUGUAAAGCCCUUUUGUUGGGAAAGAAAAGCAGCAGGUUAAUACCCCGCUGUUCUGACGGUACCCAAAGAAUAAGCACCGGCUAACUUCGUG